This is a non-coding RNA of Sus scrofa (pig), 46 nucleotides long. NCBI's taxonomy places the organism in Eukaryota, Metazoa, Chordata, Mammalia, Artiodactyla, Suidae. The record is from Rfam.
CCAACGGCCCUUUUCAGGGCCACCUAUUCCUUCACUCAAAAGAGUU